AGGGUUGUUUGAUAGGACAGUAGAUCAGAGACUGUUUUAUUAUGAGGUCAGCUAUUCUCAGAACAGAACUUAAGGAGGAGCUAUAAGCUAGCUCAGGCUGAGGGCGGUGGUGGGGAGGGAUCCUAAGUUCAGGUGCCUGGGGUAAGGAGAAAAGCUUCACUCAAGUUUGGUCAAGUCAAUAUAUAGCAGGUGUUUUGUCCAGGUUGGUCAGUGGAGAGCACUUCAGAUAACAUUUAUGAACCAAAGAAUGGGAAUUUCAAUGUCCUGAAUCUGCCUUGUCAUAGCUAUUGAAACAAGGAAACGAGACAGCUGGCAUCAGAAGCAGAAACAUUCAGUUCGUAGGACAUCAGAAGAAGCAGUGGCAAGACCCAUCGUGAUGGACUAGUUCUGGGCUCUGAGCCUCGCUGCUCUCCAGGUUUCUUUUUUCCUGCUCCUUUUCUGAGGCUGGUUUUCCAGCCUUCUGAAUUUCUUGGCACUAACCGACAUCCUUAUAAUAAACUCUUUUUCUGCUUAAGGCCCAGUGGGAAGACAAGUGUCUGCAACUCAGCGAAAGAACUAUCUCCAGACACUGAUGCUGCUGGCACCUUGACCUUGGACUUCCUGUCUCCAGAAAUGUGAUAAAAAAAGAAGAAGGAAGAAGCGGAGGAGGAGAAUAAUUACUUAAGCCAAAGACUUCUUGGAACCAAUUUGGGAAGUUACAUCAAGUGAUGACGCUGGCUCUAUUGAUCUCAUCUUGGAAUUAAUAUUACAAAUUUAGGUAGGAAAUGCAGGAAAAAAUGGGAUAAAUGGCAGUGUUUGAUAAUUUAAUUAUUGGCUGG
Long non-coding RNA from Felis catus (domestic cat), 818 nucleotides. RefSeq lists it as uncharacterized. The transcript is spliced from 4 exons. The record is from RefSeq and is a predicted model, not a curated record. Lineage: Eukaryota; Metazoa; Chordata; Mammalia; Carnivora; Felidae.